CUGGCACCAUUUUGGAAGCAUGUGCUGCCCUAACAAAUCAUCGUGCCAAACACCUGGGCACAUUUUGAGGAUCUGAGUUGGUUCCGUUCUUGGGUGAUUUUCGUCACAUUCCCUUGAAACCAUUAUACGCNUAUUAACAAUGUUGAACGUGCUCUUGUGCCGCAAGGCUAUUAAUAUAAUACAACUGUGUUAACAACGGAUCUCUUGGCUCUCGCAUCGAUGAAGAACGCAGCGAAAUGCGAUAAGUAAUGUGAAUUGCAGAAUUCAGUGAAUCAUCGAAUCUUUGAACGCACCUUGCGCUCCCUGGUAUUCCGGGGAGCACGCCUGUUCGAGUGUCGCGAAAUUUCUCAAGCUUGGAUGGAUUUUUUGUCCGUCCCUUAGCCUUGGUUGUUGGGCUUUGCCGUGUCCUUCAUUGGUACGGCUGGCCUUAAAAGCAUCAGCUGAUCCUCGUGUGGCACUGGUUCUACUCAGCGUGAUAACAGUCUGAUCGCUGAGGACAUCUUUUGGGAUGGCCAGCUCUCAUUUGGGUUGCUUCUAAACUUGGUUUCACAGAUUGUACAAUCUGUGUUCCACAUUUCAGCUUUGACCUCGAAUCAGGUGGGACUACCCGCUGAACUUAAGCAUAUCAAUAAGCGGAGGAAAAGAAACUAACAAGGAUUCCCCUAGUAACGGCGAGUGAAGCGGGAAGAGCUCAAAUUUAAAAUCUGUAAUCUUUGUGCCC
RNAcentral lists this ribosomal RNA (721 nucleotides) under uncultured Clavulina. RNAcentral's name for it is "eukaryotic LSU rRNA". The stretch from base 185 to 338 matches the Rfam family "5.8S ribosomal RNA". Lineage: Eukaryota; Fungi; Basidiomycota; Agaricomycetes; Cantharellales; Hydnaceae. The record is from RNAcentral.